This 734-nucleotide ribosomal RNA is filed under the name unidentified. Its description in RNAcentral is "Leidynemella shahi partial large subunit ribosomal RNA". It matches the Rfam family "Eukaryotic large subunit ribosomal RNA", at positions 367 to 894 of the family's 3401-position model. The record is from RNAcentral.
CAAAGAACUUUGAAGAGAGAGUUCAAGAGGGCGUGAAACCGCUGAGAAGGAAGCGGAUAGAGUUAACGAAACUUGAUGGCAUUCAUCCGACUAAUGCUGCUGUUGGCUGUUUAGUUGUACUACCUUUAAUCGGGUGGCAGCUUUAUGGCUGAACUGGCCGCGUUCGGUUGGUGCUUUUGCCAUUGGUAUGUGCCGAGAGGUUCGCCAUGGUGCGCUAAUACUAUGCGAAGAGGACCAUGCUCUUCAUGGGCGUGGAAACCUUUGUUUGUUGAGGCGUAUCCGGUGGUGAAUCCAUUAUCGCUAUAAUUACAAUGCAUGCGAGUAGGCGCAACGGUUGUCGCGUGGCUGAUAUGAUUGCUUGAGCGGUCGCGUGCGACUUGCUUACAGUCGAUGUUGGCUCGUUUGAUGAUGCGGUUGCGUUUAGCAUUGUAUCUCGGUGUGAAAGUUGACCACCUAUCCGACCCGUCUUGAAACACGGACCAAGGAGUUUAGCAUAUGCGCAAGUCAUUUGGUGGUAAACCUCAAAGGCGUAAUGAAAGUAAAGAUCGCUUUGAUGCGGUUGAUAUGGGAUCUGCGUGGUUGCGACCAUGCAGCGCACCAUAGCCCCGUCUUUGUUGCUUGCAACGGGGCGGAGGUAGAGCGCAUACGCUGAGACCCGAAAGAUGGUGAACUAUGCCUGAGCAGGAUGAAGCCAGAGGAAACUCUGGUGGAAGUCCGAAGCGGUUCUGACGUGC